ACCCCCACAAAACUUCUCCUUCCUUCUUCCGAGGCUCUUCUCCUCCUCGCCUCCCGGCGACACCGGCGGCGCGUCCUCCGAAGUUACCCCGAGGAGGAAACUAGGAAGAGCUUGGAAUAGUGCAUUGAACCGCCCGCGGGUCAAAUGAUCAAUGCUCCAGAGAUGUGUUAGUCACCCUCAGGUCAUAAUUAAGAUGGAAAACACCAUUCAAAGCAAGGGACAGCCCAAAGUCCUCCAAGAAGUUCUGCAAGCCGACAUGCUGGCUCCUGAAGACCUUACAGAACAGAGAACUACUUCAGAAGGAACUGGGGGAAAUGAUGCUUGA
This 325-nucleotide long non-coding RNA is filed under the name Anas platyrhynchos platyrhynchos (common mallard). Its description in RNAcentral is "lncRNA (ENSAPLG00000018637.1)". Lineage: Eukaryota; Metazoa; Chordata; Aves; Anseriformes; Anatidae. The record is from RNAcentral.